This 1517-nucleotide ribosomal RNA is filed under the name Anoxybacillus sp. ST4. Its description in RNAcentral is "partial 23S ribosomal RNA". It matches the Rfam family "Bacterial large subunit ribosomal RNA", at positions 1220 to 2733 of the family's 2925-position model. Lineage: Bacteria; Bacillati; Bacillota; Bacilli; Caryophanales; Anoxybacillaceae. The record is from RNAcentral.
CGUCGUCGGUAGGGGAGCGUUCUAAGGGCGUCGAAGCUAGACCGGAAGGACUAGUGGAGCGCUUAGAAGUGAGAAUGCCGGUGUGAGUAGCGAAAACAGAGGUGAGAAUCCUCUGCACCGAAAGCCUAAGGUUUCCUGAGGAAGGCUCGUCCGCUCAGGGUUAGUCGGGACCUAAGCCGAGGCCGAAAGGCGUAGGCGAUGGACAACAGGUUGAUAUUCCUGUACCACCUCCUCACCGUUUGAGCAAUGGGGGGACGCAGGAGGAUAGGGUCAGCGCGCGACUGGUUGUGCGCGUCCAAGCAGUUAGGCGCCUCAAGUAGGCAAAUCCGCUUGAGUAGGCUGAGCUGUGAUGGCGAGGGAAAUAAAGUACCGAAGUGCCUGAUUCCACACUGCCAAGAAAAGCCUCUAGCGAGGUGAGAGGUGCCCGUACCGCAAACCGACACAGGUAGGCGAGGAGAGAAUCCUAAGGUGCGCGGGAGAACUCUCGUUAAGGAACUCGGCAAAAUGACCCCGUAACUUCGGGAGAAGGGGUGCUCCCUCGGGUGAUGAGCCCAGGGGAGCCGCAGUGAAAAGGCCCAAGCGACUGUUUAUCAAAAACACAGGUCUCUGCGAAGCCGUAAGGCGAAGUAUAGGGGCUGACACCUGCCCGGUGCUGGAAGGUUAAGGGGAGCGCUUAGCGCAAGCGAAGGUGCGAACCGAAGCCCCAGUAAACGGCGGCCGUAACUAUAACGGUCCUAAGGUAGCGAAAUUCCUUGUCGGGUAAGUUCCGACCCGCACGAAAGGUGUAACGACUUGGGCACUGUCUCAACGAGAGACCCGGUGAAAUCAUAGUACCUGUGAAGAUGCAGGUUACCCGCGACAGGACGGAAAGACCCCGUGGAGCUUUACUGCAGCCUGAUAUUGAAUGUUGGUGCGACAUGUACAGCAUAGGUGGGAGACUGAGAAGCCUGGACGCCAGUCUAGGUGGAGUCGCCGUUGGGAUACCACCCUUGUCGUACUGAGAUUCUAACCCGCACCCCUGAUCGGGGUGGGAGACAGUGUCAGGUGGGCAGUUUGACUGGGGCGGUCGCCUCCCAAAGCGUAACGGAGGCGCCCAAAGGUUCCCUCAGAAUGGUUGGAAAUCAUUCGAAGAGUGUAAAGGCAGAAGGGAGCUUGACUGCGAGACCUACAAGUCGAGCAGGGACGAAAGUCGGGCUUAGUGAUCCGGUGGUUCCGAAUGGAAGGGCCAUCGCUCAACGGAUAAAAGCUACCCCGGGGAUAACAGGCUUAUCUCCCCCAAGAGUCCACAUCGACGGGGAGGUUUGGCACCUCGAUGUCGGCUCAUCGCAUCCUGGGGCUGUAGUCGGUCCCAAGGGUUGGGCUGUUCGCCCAUUAAAGCGGUACGCGAGCUGGGUUCAGAACGUCGUGAGACAGUUCGGUCCCUAUCCGUCGCGGGCGUAGGAAAUUUGAGAGGAGCUGUCCUUAGUACGAGAGGACCGGGAUGGACGCACCGCUGGUGUACCAGUUGUUCCGCCAGG